This 334-nucleotide unclassified non-coding RNA is filed under the name soil metagenome. RNAcentral describes it as "partial contains 5.8S ribosomal RNA, internal transcribed spacer 2, and large subunit ribosomal RNA". The stretch from base 5 to 119 matches the Rfam family "5.8S ribosomal RNA", at positions 40 to 154 of the family's 154-position model. The record is from RNAcentral.
GAUGAGAACGUAGCGAAAUGCGAUAAGUAAUGUGAAUUGCAGAAUUCAGUGAAUCAUCGAAUCUUUGAACGCACAUUGCGCCCGCCAGUAUUCUGGCGGGCAUGCCUGUUCGAGCGUCAUUUCAACCAUCAAGCCCCCGGCUUGUGUUGGGGACCUGCGGCUGCCGCAGGCCCUGAAAACCAGUGGCGGGCUCGCUAGUCACUCCGAGCGUAGUAGUUACAUCUCGCUCAGGGCGUGCUGCGGGUUCCGGCCGUUAAAAGCCUUAUUUACCCAAGGUUGACCUCGGAUCAGGUAGGAAGACCCGCUGAACUUAAGCAUAUCAAUAAGCGGAGGA